CCGGUGGCCUAACCCUUUGGGGAAGGUCCGCCUCAGGUGUGAUACGGGAUUGGGACGAAUUCAGAGCGGGGGGGAAGAUAGAAAUUCCUGGUGUAGCGGUGGAAUGCGCAGAUAUCAGGAGGAACACCGAUGGCGAAGGCAGAUCUCUGGGCCGUAACUGACGCUGAGGAGCGAAAGCGUGGGGAGCGAACAGGAUUAGAUACCCUGGUAGUCCACGCCGUAAACGUUGGGCGCUAGAUGUAGGGACCUUUCCACGGUUUCUGUGUCGUAGCUAACGCAUUAAGCGCCCCGCCUGGGGAGUACGGCCGCAAGGCUAAAACUCAAAGGAAUUGACGGGGGCCCGCACAAGCGGCGGAGCAUGCGGAUUAAUUCGAUGCAACGCGAAGAACCUUACCAAGGCUUGACAUACACCGGAAACGGCCAGAAAUGGUCGCCCCCUUGUGGUCGGCGUACAGGUGGUGCAUGGUUGUCGUCAGCUCGUGUCGUGAGAUGAUGGGUUAAGUCCCGCAACGAGCGCAACCCUCGUUCUAUGUUGCCAGCGCGUUAUGGCGGGGACUCAUAGGAGACUGCCGGGGUCAACUCCGAGGAAGGUGGGGGAUGACGUCAAAUCAUCAUGCCCCUUAUGUCUUGGGCUUCACGCAUGCUACAAUGGCCGGUACAAAGGGCUGCGAUACUGUAAGGUGGAGCAAAUCCCAAAAAGCCGGUCUCAUUUCGGAUUGAGGGUCUGCAACUCGACCUCAUGAAGUCGGAGUCGCUAGUAAUCGCAGAUCACCAACGCUGCGGUGAAAUAC
This 791-nucleotide ribosomal RNA is filed under the name Curtobacterium sp. RNAcentral describes it as "bacterial SSU rRNA". It matches the Rfam family "Bacterial small subunit ribosomal RNA", at positions 588 to 1369 of the family's 1533-position model. Lineage: Bacteria; Bacillati; Actinomycetota; Actinomycetes; Micrococcales; Microbacteriaceae. The record is from RNAcentral.